This 497-nucleotide ribosomal RNA is filed under the name uncultured bacterium. Its description in RNAcentral is "partial 16S ribosomal RNA". It matches the Rfam family "Bacterial small subunit ribosomal RNA", at positions 28 to 507 of the family's 1533-position model. The record is from RNAcentral.
GAUGAACGCUGGCGGCGUGCCUAAUACAUGCAAGUCGAGCGAACGGACGAGAAGCUUGCUUCUCUGAUGUUAGCGGCGGACGGGUGAGUAACACGUGGAUAACCUACCUAUAAGACUGGGAUAACUUCGGGAAACCGGAGCUAAUACCGGAUAAUAUUUUGAACCGCAUGGUUCAAAAGUGAAAGACGGUCUUACUGUCACUUAUAGAUGGAUCCGCGCUGCAUUAGCUAGUUGGUAAGGUAACGGCUUACCAAGGCAACGAUGCAUAGACGACCUGAGAGGGUGAUCGGCCACACUGGAACUGAGACACGGUCCAGAGUCCUACGGGAGGCAGCAGUAGAGAAUCUUCCGCAAUGGGCGAAAGCCUGACGGAGCAACGCCGCGUGAGUGAUGAAGGUCUUCGGAUCGUAAAACUCUGUUAUUAGGGAAGAACAUAUGUGUAAGUAACUGUGCACAUCUUGACGGUACCUAAUCAGAAAGCCACGGCUAACUACGUG